CCUACGGGUGGCAGCAGUGGGGAAUAUUGGACAAUGGGCGAAAGCCUGAUCCAGCCAUGCCGCGUGUGUGAAGAAGGCCUUCGGGUUGUAAAGCACUUUCAGUGGGGAAGAAAGCCUUGGGGCUAAUACCCUCGAGGAAGGACAUCACCCACAGAAGAAGCACCGGCUAACUCCGUGCCAGCAGCCGCGGUAAUACGGAGGGUGCGAGCGUUAAUCGGAAUUACUGGGCGUAAAGCGCGCGUAGGCGGUCUGAUAAGCCGGUUGUGAAAGCCCCGGGCUCAACCUGGGAACGGCAUCCGGAACUGUCAGGCUAGAGUGCAGGAGAGGAAGGUAGAAUUCCCGGUGUAGCGGUGAAAUGCGUAGAGAUCGGGAGGAAUACCAGUGGCGAAGGCGACCUUCUGGACUGACACUGACGCUGAGGUGCGAAAGCGUGGGUAGCAAACAGGAUUAGAUACCCUAGUAGUC
RNAcentral lists this ribosomal RNA (465 nucleotides) under Vreelandella stevensii. RNAcentral describes it as "partial 16S ribosomal RNA". It matches the Rfam family "Bacterial small subunit ribosomal RNA", at positions 338 to 795 of the family's 1533-position model. Lineage: Bacteria; Pseudomonadati; Pseudomonadota; Gammaproteobacteria; Oceanospirillales; Halomonadaceae. The record is from RNAcentral.